Molecule: ribosomal RNA, 346 nt
Filed under: uncultured eukaryote
Lineage: Eukaryota
Description: SSU rRNA
Rfam family: Eukaryotic small subunit ribosomal RNA
Source: RNAcentral
AUAGCGUAUAUUAAAGUUGUUGCAGUUAAAAAGCUCGUAGUUGAAACUGGGCGCGGCUGGCCGGUCCGCCUCACGGCGUGCACUGGUCUCGGCCGUGCUUUCCUCUCGGACCGCCCGAGAGCGCUUCACUGUGCGCUCGGGACGGGCCGGGACUUUUACUUUGAAAAAAUUAGAGUGUUCAAAGCAGGCAUUUGCUCGGAUACAUUAGCAUGGAAUAAUUGAAUAGGACGUCGUUCCUAUUUUGUUGGUUUCUAGGACCGCCGUAAUGAUUAAUAGGGAUAGUUGGGGGCAUUAGUAUUCAAUUGUCAGAGGUGAAAUUCUUGGAUUUAUUGAAGACUAACUACUG